RNAcentral lists this long non-coding RNA (289 nucleotides) under Carica papaya (papaya). RNAcentral describes it as "long non-coding RNA (CPAP_LNC009647)". Lineage: Eukaryota; Viridiplantae; Streptophyta; Magnoliopsida; Brassicales; Caricaceae. The record is from RNAcentral.
CAAGAAAGAAAAAAUCAAGGUAGCAGGCGAAAAGAAAGAAAAGUCUGCACUACUUGAUACAAAAGGUAUGACACCUAACUCAUCUCUAAAGUAUAGUACAAUUAAAUAUUUUAGGCAUCUCGGACAUAUCGUUUCUCAAUGCCCAAAUAAGAAAAUCAUACUACUGAGAAAUGAUGGUGGAAUUGAUAGUGCUAGUGAUUGCAAGAGUGAAGAUAACAAUAACAUGUCACCAUUGGAGGAUGUUGAGGAAAAUGUUGAAUAUCUAGCUCAGGGGGAAGCUUUGGUUAUC